GGAAAUGAUGAUAGAUCUUGUCGCCCCAGUCUUACUUUGCAUUACUUAAUGCGUAAUGGUGAUUGACAUUUUAUCUGAUUC
This 81-nucleotide small nucleolar RNA is filed under the name Cephalotus follicularis. RNAcentral describes it as "Small nucleolar RNA U31b". It matches the Rfam family "Small nucleolar RNA U31b". Lineage: Eukaryota; Viridiplantae; Streptophyta; Magnoliopsida; Oxalidales; Cephalotaceae. The record is from Rfam by way of RNAcentral.